This 486-nucleotide ribosomal RNA is filed under the name uncultured bacterium. RNAcentral's name for it is "partial 16S ribosomal RNA". It matches the Rfam family "Bacterial small subunit ribosomal RNA", at positions 30 to 507 of the family's 1533-position model. The record is from RNAcentral.
AUUGAACGCUGGCGACAUGCCUUACACAUGCAAGUCGAACGGCAGCACGGGUGCUUGCACCUGAUGGCGAGUGGCGAACGGGUGAGUAAUACAUCGGAACAUGUCCUGUAGUGGGGGAUAGCCCGGCGAAAGCCGGAUUAAUACCGCAUACGAUCUACGGAUGAAAGCGGGGGACCUUCGGGCCUCGCGCUAUAGGGUUGGCCGAUGGCUGAUUAGCUAGUUGGUGGGGUAAAGGCCUACCAAGGCGACGAUCAGUAGCUGGUCUGAGAGGACGACCAGUCACACUGGGACUGAGACACGGCCCAGACUCCUACGGGAGGCAGCAGUGGGGAAUUUUGGACAAUGGGCGAAAGCCUGAUCCAGCAAUGCCGCGUGUGUGAAGAAGGCCUUCGGGUUGUAAAGCACUUUUGUCCGGAAAGAAAUCCUUGGCCCUAAUACGGUCGGGGGAUGACGGUACCGGAAGAAUAAGCACCGGCUAACUACGUG